GAGAUGCAAGGCUUUGAUGGGAAGCUCGCUGCGCCAGUGUGUCCCACUGCCCAAUGCAGAUGUACCAGCGUAAGGCUCUGCCCAUCUCUGUGGGAUCUGAGUUCUUUCAUUGCAAAUGUGUGACACCCGAACACAAGCCACAAAUCAGUGUGGGCUGCAGGACCCUCAGCACUGCAAGAGGCCCUGCACACAUAGCCAUGGACAGGAGCUGAAGUAUUUCAUGACCCUGAGACUUGAAAGAUCCUCAUGGUUUUGGUCACAGGUGUCUGCUGAAUAACCUCAGCUUCUUCAGUUCACAGCUCUUAGCUGAGGCCAGCCAGUGUGAAGCAAGCUGUGCAAGAUCCUAGGAUGCCUCCUACCCUUCUGCCUCCCAUGCAGGCAAAUGGCUGUCGAGCUUCAAUCUGCCCAAGCAAACGGGGUGGCAAAGACAAGUGACCUACUUCUUGAGAAGCCGUGGUACUUCAGCGUCCUCGCUUUCCAUCAGCCCUCCAGGAAUCACGUGCUAGCCCCCUGAGGAAAGUACUGAAUUGCAACUCCCAUGUCAAAUCACCAUUUCUAAAUGAAAUACUAAAAAGUUUAACCUGUCAUUUCAUUUUCAGGGCAUUGUUCCUUUUUUUUAAAAAAAAAAUCUGAACAUAAAUUAUAGCCUGUUUGGUGGGGGGAAAAAGCAUUUGAGGCUAAAACUAAAAUUGAGUUUUUGAUUUUGAAGCAUUGAUUUAAAAUAGAGGGGAGGAAUUCAUUUUAAAUCAAUUCAGAAUUUCUGGUGAGAACAUACUCAUUUUUCCCUUGUCUUCUUUCUCCUCUCCUCCCUCCCUCUGUUGUAGUCUAACAGGUAAAGCAAAAAUAACAGCAAGCAAGGACACACAUCAGUGAUGCCGAGGAUUUCAUUAAAAUGUUUUAAGUUGAGGACAUGAAUAUAUUCAUCUUCUGCCCUCUGUGGGAAAGCGUAGCACACGUGUAGCAAGCCUGAAAACAAAAUGGCUGUUUUCUCAGCAAACCAACUGGGAUCCUAAAUAUUUAGUGCUCAGAUCUCCCUCUGGUAGUCAUGUGGCUGGACAGAGAUGCACACUGUGAGUACUGUCGUGCCCUAGGAGCUUUGCCACCUCCAUCCUACCUGGUGGCCCCAUGGGGACCAAGCUGUGGGCUCCCUAUCCCUACAGCAGGCCUGCCCCAGGCCCUGCAGCCAAGCUGCCUUGCAUUUAAUUGUGUUACCUUCCUCCUCAGCUUGUUUUCUGCCCAGAUCUUGUUUGUCCUGGGUCCCUGAGGAGAGCUCUGGGCUGCUCAGUUAAUUGGAAGUGGCUAAAGCCAUAGGCGGCAGCUAUGGGGGUGGAGGUGGUGGUGUUGGGUUCAAUUUGUGGAGGCUGUUGAAAAUCUUUGUCUUAGUUUAGCAGUCAUUCACUAUUAGGGUGAGAUGUUUGUCUGGGCACCUGCAGGGGAUUUCUGAGGUGUCCCAGGGGCCUGAAGAAGUGAUGGCAAUUAGUUUCAUCUGUGCUGUGUUUUAUUAAGCGAUGGUGAAGAGUGAAUGAGCUGAAAAGGAGGAGAGGGGAGUAAGGCUGAGUAAAAGGAUGUGGAAGCAAGAUGUAUGUUGGGACACAGAGGGGUCAGGAGCAGGCACGCACCACCAGUUGUACAAAACAGUGAAAGAGAACAGGGAAUGGAGUGCAAGUGUAUGACAGAGAGGGAAAGGCACAGUGGAAAAGUGUGCGUGACAUGUGCGUCUGUAGCAUGAGGGAAGAGGAGAGAAGGGGACGUGCAUAACACUAGCUCCUUGGAAGCCAGCUUUGCUGGAGGAGGGAGCGGGCUGGAAGCUCAUGUGCUGGUGAGCCAGCUCUGAGGCCUGGCGGCCAGGAAGGGCUGCAGAGCUUUGGUUUAUGCUGAUGAGACAUCUUUCCACUUGGGCAAAUGGCCGGAUUCCCUUUCUAAAUCACUCCAACGUGAUUUUAAUAGCAGGCAGAGGUGGCUUUUGGAUAAUAAAUGGGUACUAAACCCUAAAGAGACGGAGGCUGUGUCAUACAGAACAGAUGGUAAAUUAGAAAGAAUGGAAGUCUGUGACUUUGCUUAGCUCUGCUCUGAGCCGGGGAACUCUCACUCUUGUUAUGCUAACUAUUUAGUAUUUACACUGAAAGGUUGCUUUCUUGCCUGCCCUGACAUGGAAUAUCACAAUUAUGUAUAAUAGCAGCAAGAUCACACUGAUUAGGGAGGUGGCAGGAACGGCGAGACCGCAUGAUGAUGAUGUUCAUCAUCAUUCUUAUUAGUGAUCAUCAAUAAUUAAUAAUUGCAUUGUUUAUUCUUCAUCAGUGGUGGUAAAGACAUCCAGACAUGCCAAAAGGUUUAAAAAUCAUCUUGCUUUGUUUUGUUUACUGACAGAGACGGUCUCCCUCUGUAUUUUCUUUUUCACUUGGUGUUGCCUGGGCCCUGUUCACCUUCUGAAGGGUAUUCAGGCCAGUGGUUUGUGCCCUUUGGCUUCAAUGGGAUGCAAGCAUCUGCUAAGCGGAUACCUCAAUACAAUGCAGAGCUCCUGGGCUAGGCUGUGCUCUAAAGUGCAGCCAAGUACUGCAGAGCAGACCUGCUGAGAUACAUGGCACCCAAGCUACCUGGCCAGAUCUAGCUGGUACUUAGGGAAUUGUGAUGUGAUUGUCAUCCUGACAGUGUGAGCAAGUAUGUGUUCAUCAGCCAAAUGUCUGUUCUGGUAUUUCUUGGGCUAUUGCAUGGCCCUGUGGACUGGGAGAACUGGGAUUGCGUGAUGAAAUCUUGCGAGCGGUCUUAGUGAGGAGGCAUGCAGAUACAUGAACACAGGAAAUUACUGCUUUAAACACAAAAGCAGCCAGUUAAAGUAACACUGAUAUUGCUUCUCUGUCUGAUAUACAUAAGACAGUGCAAAUCCUAAAAUCAGCUGAAGUCAUGAAGGCAAGUGCUUACCACUGCCAUAAAAUAUUGAUCUUCCCCCCCUCUGAGCUCUGUCAGGCAGGCAUAUUGGAAGAUGUUUGCACCUCUUAAGCAGGUAUGCGAUGAAGAAAGAGUGAAGACAGCACUAUCAACCUAGAAUUCUACUUGGAAGAUCUGAGAAAAAUAAAUCCUUCAUCUUCUGGGACUUGAAUUCUCUCAUAGCCUUGCUGGAAAAGGUCUUUAAACCAAGUGCCUCUGACUCUACUGAGCUCUCAGAGGGAGAAGAAAAGAAAGAAGAUUUGAGUGCGUUAUGUUUUGAUUGUAGUUCCACAUAAAAGGACAUUUACAGCCCUAGCUUCUCUGUUUUGCAGGCUCCAAAUCUCCACCAGUCAGGGCAGCAUUCUUGAAUUGGCCUACCUAAUGACAGAUGCAUAAACUUACUUAUUUUGAGUUAAGUUAUCAAGGAAGCCCAUGAAUGCUAUAAGGAGGAACUGGACAAGAGAAGAACUUCAGCUUUUUUUUUUUUUUAAACAAGUCUUUUUAAUUCUUCUCCCAUUCUACUUAUGCACUUUGGAGACUGUAUUAUAUACCUAUUUUAAAAAUAAAAUAAUCAUAAAGCAUAAUUUCCUGUAAAAUUUUGAGGGGCAAAAAUCCAGUGGGUGAAGCCCCGAUGUUCAAGCUGAAUUAUUGUUUCUGUUAUUAAUGAUGAAGACCUGUAGCUACCAAUGAAGAAGAGAUCUUCAGUGUAUCCAUCACCAUACAAAUGUGGGGUAGAGAUGUUCCCUUCCCCUACAAGCUCAUCAUCCAAACAGACAAAACAAAUUCAGGCUGCAAGACAGAUCAGUCACACACUCUGUACCAAAGUGGAAGAUCCAGGUACACUUUCAGGAAGCUGAGCAUGCAGCUAACCUGCUGAUGGAGUAGUACAGUCUAAUAGGAUGAUUGAUGAAGUUGGAACAUAGAUACGUGUUUGUUUAUUGUGUCACUACAGCCAUCUCUAUGAAAGGACUGUGUUUUUAAACACGAAAAACGCCCUAGGAAUGGUCCAAAGAAAAGAAAAGAAAGGAUGGAAACAAAUUGGGAUAAAUAAACAAACAACAACAACAAAAAAAUACCCUGCAGAAAAUAAAUGUGGAAAACAGACUGAUGACAGCUUUGUGACAUCCACCCCUCUACCUCUGAGUGCCUUUUAUCCAACAGGAAAACAAAGCAUUCAGUUAAGGAAGACUGGAAAAAUUCAGGAAAAGGCCAUGUGGAGACAUCUGGAGAGUUAAAUCUGGGUUGUGGUGGGAGCACUUACAACGUGUAGAACACUGGUCCAAGCAGUCAAGCAAGCUGCUCUAGCCAGACCUGGGACCUGAACUACAGGAUAUAUGCUGCCUCCCCUGCUCCUUGAUCCAGGAGCUCUGAACUGACUCAAAGCCGUGUUCAUGGGACUCAUGGCGAAGUUGAAGAUCCCAGCUGAGGGACAGAGGAGAUGCAAGUCCUGUGAAGAGAUUCUAACGUACCAGUUCAGGGCUUGCUCUAGAUACUUUCCACAAAGUCUUAGAAGCAGUGCCUGGACUACAUGGUCAAAGCCAGUGGAAUAAAACCCAAGAGAAAUCCAGAAGAAAUCACCCAUGCCCAGGUAGAAAGAAGGCAAUCAGCUCCCAAAGUAGUGUAUGUGUUGGGAAACUCUCCUGAGCCACGUGAGAAAUACGGGAGCCUUGAGUAAGAAGUGCUGAUCAGAAUUACUACUUACAGAGCUGUGUGUGUGCAAGUACAGUGAAGAUCUUCAAGUGCUGACCCCAAAGUGGUGGGGGUGACCUCUGUGUUGCAGCGGGCCGUGCCAGACAGCUGGAGGGAAGAUAUUUUUAAUGCAUCCCACAAAUGCAGUAUGUUGCUGCUGCUACAGUGGAAGAGAAGCGGGGGUGGACCCUGCAGACCCUGAGCUGUGUGUAUUGAUUGAGGAAGCAGGCUUCUUCCAUGCAUUCACAGAGCCUGGUUUAGCCUGAGCUGGGACUCAGAGACUGUGUCUUUCUUUCUCUGGUUAUGAUUUAUGACUUCAAUCCAAUUUAUGGCCAUUUACAAGAAUGCUGAACUGGCUGUAAAUCAGUAAGAGACCAUAAAAUACUCAUGAGAGCUGCUGAAAUCCAUCUGGGUGAGCUUCCUUCCCUCCCAAGAGCAGCCAGCUGAGGGCAGGAAGAUGUAGGCCUCCCAUCAAGCCUCGUAGCAGCAACAGGGGGUGGGGAUGAAAUGAAGCGCUUGACUGGAGGAAAAGGCAAAGGCAAAGGAGGCUUGUUCUGAGAGCAUACAAGACUCAGAUGAGCCGCUGCCUAAGGAGAACUGCUAUGCAGGGCUUCUUCAGAGGAGCUUCACCAAAGAGCAAGGCUUACCUGGAAUCCGUGGCCUUCAGUGCAGCCAGUGGUUCUCUAAGAGUAGCUCAGUGUUCUACCGAGUUGCUGUUUUUUGUGAUAAACUUUCUGGCCAUUUUUAUUUUUACCAAUUACUCCAAUGACAUAUUUGUGUAGUGACAUGACAUAUUGAAACCACAGUCCUCAUGGAUCUUUUUAAAGUAAACCUUUAGUUGCCUUUCUUACACCUCAGCAAGGUGAUUAGAUCAUGCUCAGAAUGUAAAGAAACCCUCCAAGCAAGUGGCAACAUUGUGCCAAAUUCUAUACUCACCACAAGGACAGAAGGUGAGGCAGUAUUUAAAAACAAACAAACAAACAAACAAAAAAAACAACUGGGGCUAUUGGGAUUAAAAUCCCCUCUUUGCCUUGACUGCAGUGCGGACUUUCUCCCCUAACCCUAAAAAUGCCUUUAUUGACAGGUAACAGGUGACCAUGUAUAUAAGCGCUUACGGAGAAAUGUCAUUUGCUGCAUAAAUGCAACCCAGUACAGAUAAACCCAGAUUUUAUUUUACAUAUGCAAAGUGGAAUACAAAUCUUUCUUCAUCUUUACCUUAAUGUACAAGGGCUGCUCUGAAAGUAAUGCCUCCUAUUUCAUUAUGUUGGCCCACGAUGUCAGAGGCAGAUGGUGGUGGUAUGGCAGUAGAGGCUGAACCUUCCCUCCAACAUUCCAUUGCAUGUUGUUGCCGUGCAACAGAUGGCAGCAGAGGGGCAGUCUGACAAAAAGGCGUCUGACAUCGGAGUGCGUUUGAAACAAAGGUGUGUCACUGAAUUCCUCCAUGCAGAACAAGUGGCCCCCACUGAUACUAACUGAUGCUUGUUGAGCAUUUCUGGAGACCAUACAGUGGAUAUGAGCACAGUGAGGCGGUGAGUGGUAUGUUUCAGCAGUGGCGACAGCAAUGUGAAAGAAAAACCAUGUUUGGAUGGCCAUACACAGCUGUCUCACAACAAAAUGAAGAGUGUCUUGAUCAGCUCAUCCAUGGAAAUUGGCAGAUUAGAACAGGGGACUGUGUGCAGAGCUGAAUAUCAGCUUCAAUAUGUUGAAAACGAUGCUGGCAAUGCUGAAAUACUGCAAAGUUUAUGCAUGGUGGGUGCCAUGAAUGCUCACAGAGGAACAGAAAGAGCACUGUAUGUAAGUUUUUCAGGAAUUAUUGAACCAAUAUAAUGUCCAGGUGACAGUUUCCUGGAUUGCAUCAUUAGCGGUGAUGAGACGUGGUGUCACCGCUAUGAACUGGAGUCAAAACUGCAGUCCACGGAGUGGCAGUGUGUGAAUUCUCCAUUGAAGAAAAAGUUCAAGAUGCAGCUCUCAGUGGGUAAAGUGAUGUGCACUACCUUUUGGGAUAGGAAAGGGGUGAUUUCCUGGAUUUCCUGGAACCUGGACUAACUAUCAACUCUGACUGCUACAUCAUCACGCUGAGCUGAAGGUUCCAGCUUCCACAAUCAGGCCAGAGAAGAAAACAACCUUUCUCUUGCAACACAAUAAUGCCAGGCCCCACACCAGUCUGAAGACAAUGGAGCACGUUACCAAUCCUGGCUGGACUGUCCUACCACACUCAUCAUAUAGGCCAGAUUUGGCAUCUUCUGACUUCCAUCUGUUUGAGCCAAUGAAAAAUGGAUUGUGUGGGCAACAUUUUCUUAGCAACUACACCACUAUAGCAGCUGUGAAACAGUGGGCCACCUAUGC
Numida meleagris (helmeted guineafowl) is the source of this 6960-nucleotide long non-coding RNA. RefSeq lists it as uncharacterized. The record is from RefSeq and is a predicted model, not a curated record. The transcript is spliced from 6 exons. NCBI's taxonomy places the organism in Eukaryota, Metazoa, Chordata, Aves, Galliformes, Numididae.